Molecule: transfer RNA, 73 nt
Filed under: Bos taurus (domestic cattle)
Lineage: Eukaryota; Metazoa; Chordata; Mammalia; Artiodactyla; Bovidae
Also listed under: 1 other name
Rfam family: tRNA
About the family: Transfer RNA (tRNA) molecules are approximately 80 nucleotides in length. Their secondary structure includes four short double-helical elements and three loops (D, anti-codon, and T loops).
Source: Rfam by way of RNAcentral
UCCCUAGUGAUCCAGUGGCUAAGCUUCUGCACUCCCAAUGCAGGGGGCCCAGGUUCAAUCCCUGGUCAGAGAA